UACAGAGGGUGCGAACGUUGCUCGGAAUUACUGGGCGUAAAGCGCGUGUAGGCGGAUCGGCAAGUCAGGCGUGAAAUCCCCAGGCUCAACCUGGGAACUGCGCUUGAAACUGCCGGUCUUGAGUGUCGGAGAGGGUGGCGGAAUUCCUGGUGUAGAGGUGAAAUUCGUAGAUAUCUGGAGGAACACCGGUGGCGAAGGCGGCAUCCUGGACCGGCAUUGACGCUGAGGCGCGAAAGCCAGGGGAGCAAACGGG
This 253-nucleotide ribosomal RNA is filed under the name uncultured bacterium. RNAcentral describes it as "partial 16S ribosomal RNA". It matches the Rfam family "Bacterial small subunit ribosomal RNA", at positions 524 to 776 of the family's 1533-position model. The record is from RNAcentral.